UGGCCAGCUCAAUCAGGGCCCAGCUGGCCCUUAUAAGAAGGCUGGGGGCGAAAAGUUGGAAGAGUCUCACUAGCCCUAGAGCAGGAAGGACUAGCUGUCUGGGAGCAAGGUACCCAGAGCUGGAGCAGGACUGGGGAAGGGCAAAGGGAGCUGGGGAGCUCCAGCCUGGUAAACCCCUAGGCUGCAGGCCUUGGUAAAGGCCCAGAAAGGUACUGGGGCUGCAGAGGGGCAACCUGGGAUUGGCAGAGGCAGCUGGUCCUAAACCCUUGCCAAUGAUGAGUGGCCAUUACACUGCAGUCUGCCCCAAUCAGCGGGGGCUAGCUGAUGACUGUCAGUAGCCACUGAGGCAAGGUGGGUUUAGAGGACUGGGGGUUCCCUGGGAUGGGAGAUCCAGAGCUAGGAGCUACUGCUGGGGUAGAACCCGAGGUAAAGGGCACUGGAGUCCAGGAGGGUCACGGAGCCACGAGACAUCAGCCUGAAGAGAGCGCUCAAUACGCUGGAGAGCUAAUUCCCAGGACAACCAGCAGGAGAUGCUGCACCGGAUCCCUUUCAAGGAUUCAACUUGUACAGUACAACUUCAGGCACACAUCUUCCGAAGACUUUCAUGGCUACUUGAUGAACAACCAACCACUGCUGAGAUGUCUUGGCACAACAGGAAGAAGAGCAGUAGGAAAGUCCUGACUGCAUGUAAAAAGUUCUCAAUCAAAUUUCAAAGAAAUCCAACUAAGCAUGUCUAUUUUAGAAGAUUUAGAAAGGUUGACCUUUAAACAGAAGUCGUGAUGGAAAAGGAAUGUUGUACGUAAGACAUACGAGACACCUUAGAGGGAUCUUCUGAUGUUCAGCCCUUUCUGAAAGGCAUGCUCCUUUAAGGUAUCUAAUGAUGAAGAUUGAAAAUUGAGGAAACAAACUAUUAAUCACUUCUAAAAAUCUUGGCCAGACUGUAGAACCCCGUUUGCUUGGAAGUAGAAGUGGCUGAAUAAUUAGUAAUGUAAGUUAUUCCAUGAAUUUCACUUGAUGUUUGUGUUGGCAAAUUGUCCACAGGCAGGCCAUGGAUUUCUUGAAUGUAACUUAUUAUUUGACAUUAGUUGCACAAUGUCUGAAUUAUUCUUGGUCUGAAGCUCAUUCAUUAACAGUUCUUUGCAAAUAUUUGAAAUUUGAGCAGUGUAACAGGUCACUAAAGUUAUAUGGCUUCUGUUCCCUGGUUGGAUGACCGUGAUUCCUAGAAUGAGUAUUCUAGUAAGAAUACUCUUGAAAAGUAAAUUUAAAAUUUCCUUUCCACAAAUUGUCUUUAAUAUUUCUUGAAAAUGUACUGUUUGUUAAUAUUCCUGACAGUAAGCUCAUUCAGUAUAAGUGCCUUCAGAAAAUGACACAAAGGGGGAGUGAAAGAGUUGAUGGAAAUUCGUGGGGUUUUGUUUUUGUUUGCGUUCAGUAUUUUUCUGGGAACAAUGGACAAUAGAGCUGUUGAUUAUCUGCAACUGACUCUGUAAUGAACUACUGUAUCUUUUACUGAAGAAGGAUCCAUUGUUGAAAGUUUUUGUCAACCUGCUUAACGACUUCUGGAUGUGAAGAGUGAUUCACAAAUUGCAAAAUGAUAAGAAGUAAGAAAUAAUGUAAAAUAUUCUUUUUUCUUUCAAAAUGCAGGAGUAUUAAUCUUUUGGUUACAUAUCACAUUUAUCCUUACCAUUACACUUAGACUUCAUGGAGAUUUUUCCAGUGAUGUUAAUGAAAAGUCUGUGUGACAAGCUGCAAGUGUAAAAUUUGACCACAAAAAUAUAGCAGCUAUUCUCCAUUAGACUGUUAUAGAAACUUACAGCAGAUGGCACUAAUAUUGUGUACGAGAUGAUGUUUAAGAAACUGGAAGAGAUACUCAAACAGUAGGAAAUUGUGUGUUAAAAGAUUAACAAAGGAUUAAUAUGGCCUGACUGCUGUCUAUGUAGAUAUAUGCUAAAGCUCCAGGGGUACCUUUAUGUAUUGCAAUAUAUUAAGCUUAUUACAGUGAUAGUAAAAUGUGUGCUUCUAACUUAGGCCCGAGGUACAUUUUCAGUGUGGUGCAGAAGGA
Chelonia mydas (Green sea turtle) is the source of this 2059-nucleotide long non-coding RNA. RefSeq lists it as uncharacterized. The transcript is spliced from 4 exons. The record is from RefSeq and is a predicted model, not a curated record. NCBI's taxonomy places the organism in Eukaryota, Metazoa, Chordata, Testudines, Cheloniidae.